AGAGGAGCUGUCCUUAGUACGAGAGGACCGGGAUGGACGUACCUCUGGUGUACCAGUUGUUCCGCCAGGAGCACCGCUGGGUAGCUAUGUACGGAAGGGAUAACCGCUGAAUGCAUCUAAGCGGGAAGCCCCCCUCAAAACCAGGUAUCCCUUGAGAGCCGUGAUAGACCAUCACGUCGAUAGGCCGGGUGUGGAAGCGUGGUGACAUGCGAAGCUAACCGGUACUAAUCGCUCGAUCGGCUUGAAGAG
RNAcentral lists this ribosomal RNA (249 nucleotides) under Novispirillum itersonii. RNAcentral's name for it is "Novospirillum itersonii Bacterial large subunit ribosomal RNA". It matches the Rfam family "Bacterial large subunit ribosomal RNA", at positions 2665 to 2925 of the family's 2925-position model. The record is from Rfam by way of RNAcentral. Lineage: Bacteria; Pseudomonadati; Pseudomonadota; Alphaproteobacteria; Rhodospirillales; Novispirillaceae.